Long non-coding RNA from Brassica oleracea var. oleracea, 542 nucleotides. RefSeq lists it as uncharacterized. The record is from RefSeq and is a predicted model, not a curated record. NCBI's taxonomy places the organism in Eukaryota, Viridiplantae, Streptophyta, Magnoliopsida, Brassicales, Brassicaceae. The transcript is spliced from 2 exons.
UAGUCUGUUUAAAUUAUAAAUCUUUCUUAACCAGUUUUCUCAAUUCAAAAAAGGGGAAAUGGGCUACGAAGCUCAACUAUAAACCAUGACUCUGUUCUUCGUCUGCACCACUUUCUCACAGUCUCGAGUUGAUUGCUUCUCCAAUCUUCCUCGCGUCACUUUGAUAGAGAGCGAGACAUGUGGAGAAAUCUGCAGAGCAAAGAUCAAUGCAUUUGAUGCCACGGUGAUCUGGGACGAGCAAGGCUCGAGCUAAGCAUUUAAAGAGACUGUUUUUGUUUCUAUGACCAUAUUAGUAAAGAACCUACAGCUGCAGUCCUCAGAUAUGAAUAUGAACAUGUUUGUGUAUGUUGUUUCGUAAGAGUUUGCCGGUUACGAGCAGUAAUAAACCGGAGUCCUCAAAUGUGGGUAAAAGUUUUGAGAGUAUUACUUAAGCUGUGGUUUUUCGUUGAUCAUUGUCUCUAACUAUCCUAUUGCAUUUGGUAUUAAAAUGUGCAGGCGUAAGUCUGAAUAAUGAAGAGAAUAAAGCAUGUUUUAUUGGCUUA